UACAGAGGUCUCAAGCGUUGUUCGGAAUCACUGGGCGUAAAGGGUGCGUAGGCCGCACGGUAAGUCAGAGGUGAAAUCCCGGAGCUCAACUUCGGAAUUGCCUCCGAUACUGCCGUGCUUGAGGACUGAAGAGGAGAUUGGAAUUCACAGUGGAGCAGUGAAAUGCGUAGAUAUUGUGAGGAACACUAGUGGCGAAGGCGAAUCUCUGGACAGUUCCUGACGCUGAGGCACGAAGGCCAGGGGAGCAAACGGG
RNAcentral lists this ribosomal RNA (253 nucleotides) under uncultured bacterium. Its description in RNAcentral is "partial 16S ribosomal RNA". It matches the Rfam family "Bacterial small subunit ribosomal RNA", at positions 524 to 776 of the family's 1533-position model. The record is from RNAcentral.